Molecule: ribosomal RNA, 439 nt
Filed under: uncultured bacterium
Lineage: Bacteria
Description: partial 16S ribosomal RNA
Rfam family: Bacterial small subunit ribosomal RNA
Source: RNAcentral
CUACGGGUGGCUCCAGUGAGGAAUAUUGCACAAUGGGGGGAACCCUGAUGCAGCAACGCCGCAUGGAGGAUGACGCAUUUCGGUGUGUAAACUCCUUUUAUAUGUCAAGAAAAUGACGGUAGCAUAUGAAUAAGCACCGGCUAACUCCGUGCCAGCAGCCGCGGUAAUACGGAGGGUGCAAGCGUUACUCGGAAUCACUGGGCGUAAAGGACGCGUAGGCGGGUUGGAAAGUCAGGUGUGAAAUCCUACAGCUUAACUGUAGAACUGCACUUGAAACUUCUAAUCUAGAGUAUGGGAGGGGGUGAUGGAAUUAGUGGUGUAGGGGUAAAAUCCGUAGAUAUCACUAGGAAUACCUAAAGCGAAGGCGAUCUCCUGGAACAUUACUGACGCUAAGGCGUGAAAGCGUGGGGAGCAAACAGGAUUAGAUACCCUAGUAGUC